GCGUCCUUUCCUCAAAAUGAUCUUUUGCUGUUCGGCAGGCAGUAUAGUGCAAAAUUAAUAAAUAAAUUUCUGUGGAUUUAUUAACUAAUAAAUGGUGUCGAAACAAGUUAAAGGGCCACGGACCAAAAGACAAAUACCUUCCAGGAGGAAACAAAGCAUCAACCGGUGAAUAAAUUACCGCACCCGUGGCCGAGCCCGUGGCGUACAACUUAAUAAGGAUAUCGCAAAUUGAUACCGUAGCCAGUUUACUCCUGAGUAAAGGAAAGAAUUGACAAUGCCACCAUCAGGUAGCCCAUCUUUAGCCCUGGGACUUCAGCUUACGGAACUGCGAAACAAUAAAAUGAAAAGUCAGCCUAUCAACCGAAUCAGCCGUUGCAGGCCCGUGCCCACCAGGCCCACCAGCUUCUGUUGUGGACUAUAACGACCUCCGUGAACGUGAAUAGAUGCUACCCAUGUUCCAGCAGCAAACGUAAACACCCGGAAGCAUGCCAACUGCGGCGUAAUCCUCGGCACCUGCUGUUAGAUGCUGGACCUUAUUUUAAUGUAAAUAGUACCAAGUAUUAUUGUACUAUUAUAAAAUGCCUCGUUAUAUGUACUGUUAUAAAUUUCAUUUAUUUGAUAUAAUAAAAUGAUGUAUUUCUUA
Molecule: long non-coding RNA, 643 nt
Organism: Armigeres subalbatus
Lineage: Eukaryota; Metazoa; Arthropoda; Insecta; Diptera; Culicidae
Exons: 3
Source: RefSeq, a predicted model, not a curated record